This 253-nucleotide ribosomal RNA is filed under the name uncultured bacterium. RNAcentral's name for it is "partial 16S ribosomal RNA". It matches the Rfam family "Bacterial small subunit ribosomal RNA", at positions 524 to 776 of the family's 1533-position model. The record is from RNAcentral.
UACGAGAGCCCCAAGUGUUAUCCGGAAUUAUUGGGCGUAAAGGGUGCGUAGGUGGUUUCGUUAGUCUUUCGUUAAAUCUCCGGGCUUAACCUGGAAACCGCGAAAGAAACGGCGAGACUAGAGGUUGUGCAGGGUGUAUGGAACUCAUGGAGUAGGGGUGAAAUCCGUUGAUAUCAUGGGGAACACCAAAAGCGAAGGCAGUACACUGGCACAAAUCUGACACUGAGGCACGAAACCUAGGGUAGCGAAUGGG